AAAACCAAAUGAGCAACUCCCUUUCCCCUUUCUUUUCCCAUCAAUAUCAACAAUUUCAACAAAAACAGCAACCAACCACGACUUUCAAACAUCACAACGUACAAAACCAAUCAACAAUAGUUGCAACAACAGCUCAACAACAAUAAUCAAAUCAUACCAAUUUUAUUCCAAAAUUUAUAAUUUCAAAAUCCUUUCCGAAAAUCCAAAAAUACCCUUCUCUGUUCCCCUCAAAAUCAGUCCAUAAAUACCUAAGAACAAGAGUGAAGGAGGGAGGGAUCUCUUUGGAGAAUUCUUAAGGAAAAAAAAGAAACUUUUUAGAGAGGAUUUUCAGGUAAAAAUUGGGAAUUAUGGAGGUGCAUGCUUCUAAUCCCACAUAAUUGAAAAUUCUUGAAGAACACAUCCAAAAAAACUCGAUUCCGGCGAACCAAAAAUUUAAGCAUCGGUGAAGGCUUCGUCGUAAUAGGCUCUUCCGUCCUGGUUCCUGCCCCGGAAGAGACCAAAGUCCCAAAAAUGGACUAAGAAACAAGUAUACAAGCUGGCACAUGCUGAUAUACAGCGUGUAUACAUGAAGAACAGUAGAUGCUCACUAUCCUAUGGUGUAUGA
This is a long non-coding RNA of Capsicum annuum, 604 nucleotides long. RefSeq lists it as uncharacterized. The record is from RefSeq and is a predicted model, not a curated record. The transcript is spliced from 2 exons. Lineage: Eukaryota; Viridiplantae; Streptophyta; Magnoliopsida; Solanales; Solanaceae.